Molecule: ribosomal RNA, 270 nt
Filed under: uncultured archaeon
Lineage: Archaea
Description: partial 16S ribosomal RNA
Rfam family: Archaeal small subunit ribosomal RNA
Source: RNAcentral
CAGCACCUCAAGUGGUCAGGAUGAUUAUUGGGCCUAAAGCAUCCGUAGCCGGCGCUGUAAGUUUUCGGUUAAAUCUGUACGCUCAACGUACAGGCUGCCGGGAAUACUGCAGCGCUAGGGAGUGGGAGAGGUAGACGGUACUCGGUAGGAAGGGGUAAAAUCCUUUGAUCUAUUGAUGACCACCUGUGGCGAAGGCGGUCUACCAGAACACGUCCGACGGUGAGGGAUGAAAGCUGGGGGAGCAAACCGGAUUAGAGAACCGAGUAGUCC